Long non-coding RNA from Pteronotus mesoamericanus, 848 nucleotides. RefSeq lists it as uncharacterized. The record is from RefSeq and is a predicted model, not a curated record. The transcript has 3 exons. NCBI's taxonomy places the organism in Eukaryota, Metazoa, Chordata, Mammalia, Chiroptera, Mormoopidae.
CGCUUGGCUGCUCCUGGGCCUCAGCCUGCCUGCCUGCACCAGCAGCGCGCCUGGGUUCUGGGGUCCCCAGCGUCGCCCCCGUCCGCCUGCAGCGCCCGGCGCCCACCCUGGAGCCCGCCCUGGAGCGCGCAGCUGGGGUGCUGGGGAUAUAACGGUGAGCGAGAGACCCGGGCCCUUGUUCCCGUUGAUCCUGCAGCCCAGUGGAUGGAGCCCACAGUUCCCAGAACUGCCAGGAAAGACAAAAGUUUUCCUGACGGUUGGUCCAAGCUGGGGCUCCCCGGUGGAUUGAGGAAUGUCUGGCUUUUCCUCAGCUCAUUGGUCUCUGUGGUAGCCACAGGCAGCCCUCAGAAGACCCCAAGGAUGAGAGGCCUGAGGUCCAAAAGUUGCUGCUAGAAAUUUGUUAGCCUCUCCAAAACAAAAACAAAUAAACAAACAAAAACAAAACAAAACCAAAACCAGAAUGCAGCUGCCACACAAGUUUGUAAGGUAGAUACGAGGGCCCUGUAAAACUUGAUGGUGAAGCUGAUAGUUAAAUUCCUUUCCAUGUAAAAAAAAAUUUUUUUUUACCUUCACAUUUUGAAAAUACAUCUUUUUGGGAAGACAAAGUAUUAAAUAUUUGGGGAAGUGCUUUGGUUUGUAUUUCUAUCAGAAUGUUAACUCAGGUGGCCGACCCAUAGAGGAAGAAAGACUCCGUUAGUACUUUCCAUGUAACAGAUUUAGAAAGCCUACCAUCAAAGAGAAUGAACUACACCACGAAUUUAAUUUUAAAACUCUAUGGCAAUAUCAUAUACAAAAUGCACGCUUAAUUUUCAGCGUGCUAUUCGAUAAAUUUUGUCGAAUGUAUAUGC